AGCGAACGCUGGCGGCAGGCCUAACACAUGCAAGUCGAACGAACUCUUCGGAGUUAGAGGCGGACGGGUGAGUAACACGUGGGAACGUGCCUUUAGGUUCGGAAUAACUCAGGGAAACUUGUGCUAAUACCGAAUGUGCCCUUCGGGGGAAAGAUUUAUCGCCUUUAGAGCGGCCCGCGUCUGAUUAGCUAGUUGGUGAGGUAAUGGCUCACCAAGGCGACGAUCAGUAGCUGGUCUGAGAGGAUGAUCAGCCACAUUGGGACUGAGACACGGCCCAAACUCCUACGGGAGGCAGCAGUGGGGAAUCUUGCGCAAUGGGCGAAAGCUUGACGCAGCCAUGCCGCGUGAAUGAUGAAGGUCUUAGGAUUGUAAAAUUCUUUCACCGGGGACGAUAAUGACGGUACCCGGAGAAGAAGCCCCGGCUAACUUCGUGCCAGCCGCCGCAGUAA
Molecule: ribosomal RNA, 449 nt
Filed under: uncultured bacterium
Lineage: Bacteria
Description: partial 16S ribosomal RNA
Rfam family: Bacterial small subunit ribosomal RNA
Source: RNAcentral